AGAACGAACGCUGGCGGCAUGCCUAACACAUGCAAGUCGAACGCUUCCGGGGCUUCGGUCGCGGAGGAGUGGCGCACGGGUGAGUAGCGCGUGGGAACCUGCCCUGUUGUGGGGGAUAACCGAGGGAAACUUCGGCUAAUACCGCAUACGCCCCGGGACUUGGUCUUCGGAUUAGGUCUGGGGGGAAAGAUUGAUCGCAGCAGGAGGGGCCCGCGUCGGAUUAGCUGGUUGGUGGGGUAACGGCUCACCAAGGCGAUGAUCCGUAGCUGGUCUGAGAGGAUGAUCAGCCACACUGGGACUGAGACACGGCCCAGACUCCUACGGGAGGCAGCAGUGGGGAAUAUUGGACAAUGGGGGCAACCCUGAUCCAGCAAUGCCGCGUGAGUGAUGAAGGCCUUAGGGUUGUAAAGCUCUUUCGCCCGCGACGAUGAUGACGGUAGCGGGAGAAGAAGCCCCGGCUAACGUUCGUGCCAGCAGCCGC
Molecule: ribosomal RNA, 481 nt
Filed under: uncultured bacterium
Lineage: Bacteria
Description: SSU rRNA
Rfam family: Bacterial small subunit ribosomal RNA
Source: RNAcentral